This is a long non-coding RNA of Mytilus californianus (California mussel), 262 nucleotides long. RefSeq lists it as uncharacterized. The record is from RefSeq and is a predicted model, not a curated record. The transcript is spliced from 2 exons. NCBI's taxonomy places the organism in Eukaryota, Metazoa, Mollusca, Bivalvia, Mytilida, Mytilidae.
CUGGAUCACGUUAUCAAUUGUAUUUGCUACGGCAUCUAUUGGAUUGAAUUUUCAGACAUUCAUAUUUUCCGGAAAUGAUCUGGACUUAUCCGUAUGUUCACUACCGUUUACUUUCUCUUCCUCGCCUGUCUAUUACAAAUGGAUGCCACGACAAAACUGCUCCUGUGGAUAUUGUGACAAAUCACCGUCAAUUUACCAAACAAUACACACUCUGUAAAAACUCCUGUAUCCCUUCUGGUGGAAUUAUAAUCUACAAUCUUCA